This 614-nucleotide ribosomal RNA is filed under the name Betaproteobacteria bacterium. RNAcentral describes it as "bacterial SSU rRNA". It matches the Rfam family "Bacterial small subunit ribosomal RNA", at positions 395 to 1001 of the family's 1533-position model. Lineage: Bacteria; Pseudomonadati; Pseudomonadota; Betaproteobacteria. The record is from RNAcentral.
UGCCGCGUGCAGGAUGAAGGCCUUCGGGUUGUAAACUGCUUUUGUACGGAAAGAAAAGACUCUGGUUAAUACCUGGGGUCCAUGACGGUACCGUAAGAAUAAGCACCGGCUAACUACGUGCCACCCGCCGCGGUAAUACAUACGGUGCAAGCGUUAAUCGGAAUUACUGGGCGUAAAGCGUGCGCAGGCGGUUAUAUAAUACUGAUGUGACAUCCCCGGGCUCAACCUGGGAACUGCAUUUGUGACUGUUUGAAUUGAGUACGGUAGAGGGGGAUGGAAUUCCGCGUGUAGCAAUGAAAUGCGAAUAUGUGCGGAGGAACACCGAUAGCGAAGGUAAUCCCCUGGACCUGUACCGACUCUAAUGCACGAAAGCGUGGGGAGAAAACAGGAUUAGAUACCCUGGUACUCCACGCCCUAAACGAUGUCAACUGGUUGUUGGGUCUUCACUGACUCAUUAACGAAGCUAACGCGUGAAGUUGACCGCCUGGGGAGUACGGCCGCACUGUUGAAACUCGAAGGAAUUGACGGGGACCCGCACCAGCGGUGGAUGAUGUGGAUUAAUUCGAUGCGACGCGUAACAACCUUACCCACCUAUGACAUGUAUUGAAUCCUUU